UGACCUCUGGUCUUUGCCGGGAUUGCAUAUGAGGCGCAUCUCGGACUCGAACGACCGUAGCGAAUAAAUAAUCAGCGGACGCUGCGGGAAAUGCCACGGAUAAAUAUCCCGCGGUGAAAAUGUCACGUUCUAAACGCAUCCAGAGAGUGCAGCCGAGCGAGUUACGCAAGCGAGUGUGAGUUUGAACUAUUAGCGGCGGUGAUAUUUCUUCCCUCGUCCGCGUCGGAGAUUUAUCGAGAUGGCCGGUGAUCUUUUCAGCGGCAGGAAGGGAAAAUCCGCGCGCGCGUCGGACGAGCGUGUCUCGCAGGAGGCAAGUUCGCGCCAAUGCAUCGGCAGUCUAACCGCCGGACCAGGCGCGUGUUAUAUGCAUGACAUUGCGUAAAUGACGGGGAAAGUCUCCCCGAGUGGGCCGAGAGAGCGCGGAUAUAAAAUAAAGAGAAAGAAAGAAGCCGACGCUACGAAUUAAUUUCGGGUCAGCGUGGAACGGGAGAAACUCUCGUAACGCUUCGCAGCCGAGUGGUCGUUGGCCGUGAAAAAAAUAUAUGUAUGACACGCUCGACGGUGAACACUGACCUAGAAAAGCGCGGAAACUGUGUGUGUAUGUUAAUCGACUCGCGGGAGUGAAGAUGGAGAAAAAAAAAGGAAGGGAAAGAGAGGCGUGUGUGUACAUACUUUUAUCGACGAACGUAAUCGCAAUUACCGCUGCGCGGCGUAAUUAUCUAAAAUUCACAUCUCGGUGUCGCUCGAUUAACGGGUGUCUGAAGACACUUCUGGUCGUGGCGCAAUGCGGCGACAUAAUGCGCAAGAGCAUCGUCUUCGACAAGAACACCCCGGACGUGUUUUAUUGUCCGCAACACAAGCCGAUCGGUUUCGAGAAGAUGCUAGUCAAGGCAAGGCCGUUGUCCAGGCUGUGCCAGUUCGAGGGUCGCCCGAUACCUGAGGAUUACAAGAGCGACUGCUACAACGACGUGGACGAGACCGAGUACGCGUGCAAGGAAAAGUACAGAAUCAUGAAGCGAUUCAGUAAUCCGGACGGGGAUGUGAAAGCCGUCGACAACGACUACGUCGAGAAGUAAAACGGGCUGCACGGGAGGAGGCUGCACGGUCGAUCCACCCGCACACGCAAUACCAUAAAAUCCAAAUAGAAUCAAAGCCACACCAUAUAUACUAAUGCUCGGAGCUGCAUCGUCCCAGGAGCUCGAUACUCACAAAAUAUAAUACCUAGUACUCGGCGGCGACCAGUAGAUAACUCGUAGUUAUCGCCUCAAGUCAAUGCAUUAUCCAUUUCUUCAUGCAUCACCGCGGUAGACGCGGUAGACGCUGCUGCUACCCGUUGGACGCUGGAUUCUCGCCAUUCCCGCCUAGGAACUCCGUCGAUUCACCGUCAAUCAAACACUCUUCAAUGCCUUCGCGUUGGAACACUCACAGAGUGUAUCCGUCACCGUCACGUUUCAAUCAUUUCUACAAGGGAAAAAAUUGACGGGGGAUCGACGGAUCCUGUCUACCUUCGCGUAGACGGAUAGUGAAAAUCCGAUCUAGAUCGUACACGCUUAACGGAGCAUGUCGUACCGCUCGGCGGAACCAGGCCGGACAGCGCGCAGAGUCUCCCGAGAUCACUCUGAUGUCCAGGACGUCCUGAGAAGUGAGCCUCAGGAUGUCCCGAGAACAUCCAGGAGAACCCCAGGGCGUCUCGCGCUGUCGCAGCAGCUGCUUCGUUAAACUUUCGGAAUGAAGAAACGGAUAACGGAGAGGAAAUUAAUUGACAAACACGCGCGUACGAACAGGACACUCGUGGAAGGAUCAGACACGUGUACUCCGUGAACGGGAGUCUCUUGAAUUCGUUGCGGGGCGCACGCAUAGGCGACCCGAGGCGAGAAACGACAAUAGUGUUCCGUGUUCAAGCUUUGUCAAGGGGGACUUAUUUUGAUAACGUUAUUAAUAAAACUAACCGCAACGGAGCUGGGUAAUCGAUUAAUUAACCCUUUUGACGGAGCUUCGGUGAGUUUUGCUGCUUUCAUGGAUAUACACGUGGAUCCAGCUAAUGCAUAGCUACGCCAGUCGCACCGUUAGCGAUCCAUCCAAUUGAUCAUAUUAGCAUUCCCUAACGGUUACGGACGAUUAGUUACGCGCAUUAAGACGAACUUAUCGAUUAGUAGUAUCUGAUAUUGACAAGCUGAUUAUCUCCGAGAGUAAUCAGACAUAGCGGGAGACAUAUAGUGGCCGGGAACUUCCGUCCGAAUUAUUUUCGAUAGCACGAAUUUCGAUGAUGCGAGAUAUCGACAGAGAUUUCCUUGUCCAUCGUCGUGUAUGAAAGUUUCUUCUAUGUUCGAACGUGUGUGCGUAUAUAAACACAUACACACACACACACACACACACACACACACAUAAUAUAUAUAUCUAUAUAUAUACACACGUAACAAAUAAACCUUUGCAGAAUAAAUAGAUAUUGCUCGUGUGUGAUUUUUCACCAUCAGUUCUCGUCAAGAUAAUAUCGAGAGAAAUACACCUUGCGCGGGCAGCGGACACGUGGCGAUGAGACUUCAUCCGCCGGGAAGCGACACGCCUUAUAACGGGACACGCCUGUACAAGUUCUUGGCCUUCGACAAAGAUUUACCGUACGCGCGGAAGAAUCAGGUGUAAGGAGAGCGGCUGCAUCCAAGGACACUACGGGGACGCCUGUCGCGCCUGUCGCGAUGCAGUCGCGCGAGUUGAAACCGAGUCCGUGUUGAGUCUCAACACGUUCGGAAACGAGCGUCGCUCGGACAGUUCCUGUAAACCAAUUAACACUUCGCCGAUGAGACGCGUUCGCCUUCUUUUCACACGGACAAGGAAGUAUUACGCGUUGGCGGAAAUACUUUCUAGCGCGGGAAAUAUCCUUCGCUAGAAAUUACACUUUCCGACCGAAGAGACUUUUUCGGACUUCUUUUGGGUGUCUUGUUGAAUAUAUUAGAUGUAUCAGAUGCUCUCAAGACGUCUCUUGGGACUUUCUGAUGCUUGAGGAGGGGGGAGGGUUAAUAGGUACUUUAGACUAAUUGUUUGCAUUUUUUUACUGUGUGAAAAAUGUAAUUUGUUGAUACGUACGUCCGUUCGGAUUGACUGUUUGGAAAAUUUCUUUGAAUCUGCCGCCAAAGUCCUCAUCAACGAAGUGUUAAUGAAAGAAAGAGAGAGUGAGUCAGUCUUUACGCGAUCGAUCGUGCGGGCCGGUCCCACAAUGAUCGCUCUUAUUUAUUUUCGACGCUUAUUGUCGCGACGCUUGCCUGAAACCAUCUAACGUUCCUAACGUUCGGUUUAACGCAGGUGAAUAAACGAACGUGAUUCUCGUCCUGUAGUGUCAGAUUAUCUCAUGUCCGUGUAACGUGAAAACGUCGAGCGUUUUUCUUUUGAUUGUUCGUAUAUAACUUGUACACUUAUAUAGAUAUAUAAACGAAGAGAGAGAGUAAUAUAUUUUAAAGGGAAAUAUAUCAGGAGAUAUAUAUGCCCGUCGCACUUUUACACGCGUCUUGUGUUACCUGUAAUCGAUAAGUAUCUUGGCGUUGACUAAAUAGUGUGACUAAAUAAUGCGUGCUCGUGUAAAUUAAUAUAUUAAUACAUUUAUUAGGAUGAUAUUUUCAAGGAUAGCUCGAAAUGCCCAAUAUUUAGAUGGGUUACAGUGUAAUUCGUGUUGCGGCAUUCAAUCGGAGAAAUAUAUGCUGAAUACAUUAGA
This 3703-nucleotide unclassified non-coding RNA is filed under the name Harpegnathos saltator (Jerdon's jumping ant). RNAcentral's name for it is "uncharacterized LOC105184868, transcript variant X1". The record is from RNAcentral. Lineage: Eukaryota; Metazoa; Arthropoda; Insecta; Hymenoptera; Formicidae.